Thunnus maccoyii (southern bluefin tuna) is the source of this 894-nucleotide long non-coding RNA. RefSeq lists it as uncharacterized. The record is from RefSeq and is a predicted model, not a curated record. NCBI's taxonomy places the organism in Eukaryota, Metazoa, Chordata, Actinopteri, Scombriformes, Scombridae. The transcript has 2 exons.
CUCUUCUGGGAGGGUGAAAGGGAGCAAAAAAACCCUGAACAGAUAAGAAACUUUUCCACCGGUAGGAACGAGGCGUCCUGAACAUUUCCCUUCUUCCACACUCUGCUUUUUGACGUGUACAGCAUGUGCCAGAUAGGAGAUGAUAACUGUGACAAGUUCAUUGUAACUAGAAAGAUUUGGACAUAACAGACAAUGAACUAUGCAUAGACGCCAGUGCUACUGUAUGUGUAUCAGUGUGGCAAACUGUUGUUUUUAUUUUUUUUUUCUGCAGAGGCAUCUGUGGUCUCCACAGGUGUGUUGCCAUGGCUUGAAACCAAGGAGGGAGGAUAAGUGCUGACUGAGUACAGACAACAGCUACUCUGUCUUUCUCAAACAUCUUCAAGGUCCCUGUGGAGGGAUAAAUGGCCAACAGGAGGUGCCUUCCCAGGAGAGACUCAUCUGGAGCUUUACAGGGUUGCAGCGUGCAGCGGCAGGCAAGCAGGGCUCUUUGCACUCGCUGUUCCUUUUUCCUAUGCAUAUACCUCUUUGAGAUGUAACUUUAAAGAGGCAUAGGGCAUGGGAAAAUGGGGCUGCAGAGGUAUUCCACCCGUCAGUCAGCCAUUUCAUCAUCCUCUCCGCAUGACAGCUGACCUCAAAGCGUGCACACACAUGCAGCCUGGGCUCCAGCCUUCCUGGGCACGACAGAAGUGAACACUGACCGCAGGUGAUUUUUGUGUCUCUGUGAUUAGUUUUUAUGUCAUAUCAUAACUCAGAUUUCAUCAUAUUCAUUCAUGAUGACAAUGUGUGUACAGGGUGAUGUGAUUUUGUAUAGAUACAACAUUAUUGUUCAUUUAAAACAUCUGUUUGUCUCUGUCUGCUGUUUUUUUUUUUAAAUAAAGCUCUCUUGUCAUUAAA